RNAcentral lists this ribosomal RNA (274 nucleotides) under uncultured bacterium. Its description in RNAcentral is "partial 16S ribosomal RNA". It matches the Rfam family "Bacterial small subunit ribosomal RNA", at positions 523 to 796 of the family's 1533-position model. The record is from RNAcentral.
CUACAGAGGGUGCGAGCGUUAAUCGGAAUUACUGGGCGUAAAGCGCGCGUAGGCGGUUAUUUAAGUCAGAUGUGAAAUCCCUGGGCUCAACCUAGGAACUGCAUCUGAAACUGGGUAACUAGAGUUUAGGAGAGGGGAGUAGAAUUUCGGGUGUAGCGGUGAAAUGCAUAGAGAUCCGAAGGAAUACCAGUGGCGAAGGCGACUCCCUGGCCUAGAACUGACGCUGAGGUGCGAAAGCGUGGGUAGCAAACGGGAUUAGAAACCCUAGUAGUCC